This is a long non-coding RNA of Salvelinus sp. IW2-2015, 268 nucleotides long. RefSeq lists it as uncharacterized. The record is from RefSeq and is a predicted model, not a curated record. Lineage: Eukaryota; Metazoa; Chordata; Actinopteri; Salmoniformes; Salmonidae.
GAAAACAAGCGAAAGAGGACGCGGAGCCCUCGGAAACAGGGAAGAAAAGAGAAAAAAAAGAAAAAGAAUAAGACCGCUGUCCCAGCAGGGACAAAUGAGUCUGAGGGGGAUGGAGAUACGGGAGGAGGUGUGGUGAUGUGACGGAACAGUUGGAGCAGCAAGCCCUGCCCGAGGACAUAGAUAAGGAGGAUGAUGGAGAGGAGGAUGGAGAAGAGGGUGAAAACUCAGCAGGGAAGAAGAAGAAGAAGAGGAAGAAGAAGAAGGGAGG